RNAcentral lists this long non-coding RNA (1333 nucleotides) under Homo sapiens (human). RNAcentral describes it as "HSALNT0140506". The record is from RNAcentral. Lineage: Eukaryota; Metazoa; Chordata; Mammalia; Primates; Hominidae.
UAACCCUGCAGAGAUUCGAAUGCCCUUUAGAGAUUACGAAUCAUUUUUACUUAUCUCAGUCUUAAAAACCCUCCAAGGCAGGUAUCAGUAUUCUUACUUUAUAUAGGAGGAUGUUAAAGCUCACUCAUAGUUAGCAAAGACAGGACUAGCAUCUAAGGCUUUCACCCAAGCCCAAUGUUUUCUGGAUGUAGAAUUUAGCACUCAUCUCUUACACAAUUCUUUCACCUGGCAGAAGUCUGAAGCUGGGACAAGUAAAUUUUGGUUGGUGCCCUAAGAAGAGCCACAUCUGGAUUGUGGAAUAAGGACAAGAAGGAAGGGCCAAGCAAGAAGACCAAAGAGCCUGUCUCUGCAGAGCUGGGAAGCGGGGCAGCUGCCUGAUCCUGAUGUGGAGCCAAGAGACCGCACUACACGCUUGUGGGAAAGACCUUGAGCUGGGAUCUGGAGCCCCAGGUUUCAGGCCAACUGGGCUACUGAGUCGCCUAGAGCACAUCACGCUUGUCAGGGCAUCAUUUUCUCUCUGUAUGAAAAGGAUUUGGGGGAUCUGACAUCUAAGAUACUCUCAGGCUCUAACAAGCUUGAGUCAUCUUUGGGGGUCAGUAGGUCUGCGUGUGCUUCCAUGUGACAAUGAGAGCUAAAUAAACGUCAGCUCCUUCCAGCCUCAUCAACAUCAUCAUCUCGGCUGUGACUCAGAUCAUCCACACAUGAUGAGUAAACAGUGCCCUUUGCACUGUGCUGCAUGAAGCCGAGCGUGGGGGCGGUGGUCACAGUCGAGGCUGCCUGCCUGCCUCCCUGGGUUGCAGAUUUAUGGCAUGGCAGUCCUUGUCGAAAAGACAUCUGGAGGGCCUGGCUCUACCUAUUUUUCUCCUACCCAGCUCAGAGGUACUUUUGCCCAGUCACUCCUCAAAUAAUCCAAGCUCCUCACACUGCUGUUUCCAAGUUUUGAAACACAUUAUGGCAGGCCACCAGUUCCAUUUUAUUAGCAAAUAGAUGAGUCACAGGGCCAUUUCCUUUGGAUUUUUAAGUAAGAUUUCCACUUCUACCUCACUGUCUUGUCUGGCCUGAUGUUUACAAAGAGAGAGGUUGCUACUUUCAAAUACAUGUGAUUUUUAGUCAAAUAAAUCCUAACUGCUUGAGCUGCACCACCUCCAACACUGUUCCUUGCCCAUUUCCUGAUGUCAUGCAUUUGCCCUUCCUCUGUGUCUGUGGGUAUGCCAGAGAAGUAGGAGUUCCCCCAUUAGAUACUUAUUUUAGAAUAUCUGCCAUCUGGAUGGGAUGAAGACAAUGUGGCGUAUUGCCACAAUGGAAUACUAUUCAGUCAUCAAAGAGAACAAAA